UUCAGUUGGGAUCAUAACUAACAGCUGGACAGCUGACUGCCAGGCUCCGUAGUCUCACAACUUGAACACUGUUUUAGAAAAACGACUUCACGUUUGGAAAGCUAAAUUGGGACUUUGGGAUUUCAUAGCCGCCUGGUGUGAUUGAGGCCUCAGGUUCUAAAUAUGGAGGCGCUCAUUCUUGUGGAUAAAUACCGAAUCCACAUCCCCCAAUUGUCGCCGAGAAACCAACUGCUGCUGAAACCCACAUGAAAUGUCAACCUACUGUCUUAACAACAUGGAUAAUUAUAUAUUUCCCCUUGAGUUUAAUGACUCCCUCUCCAGUGUCCUGGCCACAUUCCAAGAGAAAUCAUCGAACGCCAUUAUUGUAACCAAAAGUCUUUGUUGAUUUGAUCUAAUCUCAUCUUCUCAGUUUCCUAUCGUUAUAUAGUGCUUUAAAGCUGCUUGAUUUCAUGUAGAACAUAGGAUUUCCCUGGUACAGUACGUAUCUUAUUACCCUUUUGUAUCCCAUGUGUAUUUUUGAAACGAAAGGGACGCUUGUUGCAGCUAGCAUAGCAACUUCGUCACCAAAAACAUCAUACAAAAUUAUUUUACUUCCAGAAAAAAGUUUUUAAAUUGUACUUUAUACUCACAAUGUUAUAAUACUUAAACAAGGAGAGAAAACUAAGUUACCUUGUUUACGUUUUGACCAAAAAAAAAAAAAUGUUAGAAGCCUAUACUAGAAGUUAUAGAUUUUGCACUCCUUUAUUCAAUGACAGUGGGUUCUAGUGAGAUUUUAAUUAUUUUACUUCAUAACAUAGAGAUGGUAUAAUUUAGGUCAUUUGGAAAACAAAAGAAACAAGAACGUGCGAUGAUCACAUCAGAUAAAAAUCAGGUGUGAGAUGAGCAUUUUACGGUUCAUCCUUAUGUUUUAUUGUUUCGGAGUCUUAUGUGCAACUUUCUUCAGUUGUGGAAUGGUAAGACUGCAAGCUUCUGUGAGUAGACUGGUGUGUGAACAGUAAGAGGGUUCUUGUCAAAUAUAAUGCUGGCUGUUUAUGUCCUACAAAGCACAGACACACGUACGCAAACACAUGUAUGCCACUCCUAGGAAAUCAAAAUGUUCUCUCUUGCAUAGAAUGUUCAUGUUAUAAAGUAGUCUUCCAAAAUUCCAUAACAUAAACAGGAUAAGUUAGAUGCAACUGAUCAUUCAUUGCUAGAUUCUUAAUUUGUUUCAGUUGGUUGCAAGGCACACAAAAUGUGAUAUUGCAAGUCAUGGAAGGAUGUUGUUUUCCCGGUGAAAUUGUGAGUGAACUUCAUCUUACUUGCAGAUACAAUGUUUGAUGAAACAUGCUUACCCAUAUGCAAACAACUUCCCAAGUUACUCCAAGGUUUGGGGGAAAUGCUCUAGUCAUUAAUUUAGAAUUACAGUGUUACAUGCAAUAUAUAUGAGUGUUAA
Molecule: long non-coding RNA, 1432 nt
Organism: Mus musculus (house mouse)
Lineage: Eukaryota; Metazoa; Chordata; Mammalia; Rodentia; Muridae
Product: predicted gene, 29908
Exons: 2
Source: RefSeq, a predicted model, not a curated record